RNAcentral lists this transfer RNA (64 nucleotides) under Lachesilla rufa. RNAcentral describes it as "tRNA-Gly". The record is from RNAcentral. Lineage: Eukaryota; Metazoa; Arthropoda; Insecta; Psocodea; Lachesillidae.
AUUUAUUUAAUAUAAUUUAAGUAUCUUUGGCUUCCAACCAAAAAGUCUAUUUUUAGAAUAAAUA